UACGAAGGGGGCUAGCGUUGCUCGGAAUCACUGGGCGUAAAGGGUGCGUAGGCGGGUCUUUAAGUCGGGGGUGAAAUCCUGGAGCUCAACUCCAGAACUGCCUUCGAUACUGGCGAUCUUGAGUCCGGAAGAGGUGAGUGGAACUCCUAGUGUAGAGGUGGAAUUCGUAGAUAUUAGGAAGAACACCAGUGGCGAAGGCGGCUCACUGGUCCGGUACUGACGCUGAGGUGCGAAAGCGUGGGGAGCGAACAGG
This 253-nucleotide ribosomal RNA is filed under the name uncultured bacterium. Its description in RNAcentral is "partial 16S ribosomal RNA". It matches the Rfam family "Bacterial small subunit ribosomal RNA", at positions 524 to 776 of the family's 1533-position model. The record is from RNAcentral.